This is a long non-coding RNA of Homo sapiens (human), 3209 nucleotides long. Ensembl annotates it as zinc finger protein 542, pseudogene. Its record names the gene ZNF542P. The record is from Ensembl. NCBI's taxonomy places the organism in Eukaryota, Metazoa, Chordata, Mammalia, Primates, Hominidae.
AAAGCCACGCCCCCACGGCCGAACUCACGCCUACGUACUCAGUCACCAGCGGAACCCUCUCCACCAGGCUCCGCGUCGAGGCCCUACGGGGCGUCAAUACGCACGCGUACUUUGUGUCCCAGGUACUCUGCAUUUCCAGGACCUGGUCACUAUUCAGGACACGGUUCCAGCGCAGUGCGCGUUAGCCAUGUCUCAGCUCCAGACUGAGAGGACGCAGCAUAGAAAAUGCUUAUGAGUGGUUCAGACUCAGUAAUGGGAUGAGUGACAUUCCAAGAUGUGGCCAUUGACUUCUCCAAGGAAGAGUGGGGAUUCCUGAACCCUGCUCAGAGAGAUUUGUACACAACUGUGAUGCUGGAGAAUUAUCAGAACCUGGUCUGGCUGGGACUUUCCAUUUCUAAAUCUGUGAUUUCACUGUUGGAGAAAAGGAAACUGCCUUGGAUAAUGGCAAAAGAAGAGAUAAGAGGCCCAUUGCCAGGAUAUUUCAAGGUGUCAGAGAUGACCAUCUCCCAGGAGCCAAAGGCAAAGACUAGAACUCUCUUUGGAAAAGAUGUGCCAGGUGCAGAGAUUAAGGAGUUAUCUGCAAAGAGGGCUAUUAAUGAAGUAUUAUCGCAGUUUGACACAGUGAUAAAAUGUACAAGAAACGUAUGUAAGGAAUGUGGAAAUCUAUACUGCCACAAUAUGCAGCUUACUCUCCAUAAGAGAAAUCAUACACAAAAGAAAUGCAAUCAGUGUUUAGAUUGUGGGAAAUACUUCACUCGUCAAUCAACUCUCAUUCAGCAUCAAAGAAUCCACACGGGAGAGAGACCCUAUAAAUGUAACGAAUGUAUUAAAACCUUCAACCAGAGGGCACACCUUACCUAGCAUGAGAGAAUUCACACUGGUGAGAAACCUUACAAAUGUAAGGAAUGCAGGAAAACCUUCAGCCAGAUGACUCAUCUCACACAGCAUCAGACUACACAUACGAGAGAAAAGUUCCAUGAAUGCAGUGAAUGUGGAAAGGCCUUCAGCCGUGUCUCAGCUCUUAUAGAUCACCAGCGAAUUCAUAGUGGAGAAAAGCCGUAUGAAUGUAAGGAGUGUGGAAGAGCCUUCACUCAAAGUGCCCAGCUCAUUAGACAUCAGAAAACUCAUUCUGGAGAAAAACCCUAUGAGUGUAGUAAGUGUAAGAAAUCUUUUGUGCACCUGUCUUCCCUGAUUGAACAUUGGAGAAUUCACACUGGAGAAAAACCAUAUCAAUGUAAGGACUGCAAAAAGACCUUUUGUCGUGUGAUGCAGUUCACUCUGCACAGGAGAAUUCAUACUGGUGAAAAACCCUAUGAAUGCAAGGAAUGUGGAAAGUCCUUCAGCGCCCAUUCUUCUCUUGUUACUCAUAAGAGAACACACAGUGGAGAAAAACCGUAUAAAUGCAAGGAAUGUGGAAAAGCCUUCAGUGCGCACUCUUCCCUUGUUACUCAUAAGAGAACACACAGUGGAGAGAAACCCUAUACAUGCCAUGCCUGUGGGAAGGCCUUUAAUACUUCCUCCACACUUUGUCAACAUAAUAGAAUUCAUACUGGUGAAAAACCCUUUCAGUGCAGUCAAUGCGGGAAGUCCUUUAGCUGCAGCUCUCACCUUACUCGACACUGUAGAAUGUGUAAUGGAAAAUUUAGCAAAUAACCAAAACUCAAAAUGUUAAUUCUGAUUAUUCUGUAUCAUCACCAGUACUUUGUACUUUGAGUCUUUUUAAAUAUGCUCUGUUAGUUUGUAUGGAAUGAUAUUUCAUUGCACUUUUAAUUUAACUUAAAAAUGCCUUCCCUUGACUGUUGAUAUGUAUUUUUUGUGAAGUGUGUGUUGAAGCCUUGCAGAUUAUUUUUUAAAUUAGAGGUUUAUCACUAGGUAUAUCUCCUAAUGCUAUCCCUCCCCCCUCCCCCUAAUGUAAAUGACGAGUUAAUGGUGCAGCACACCAACAUGGCACAUGUAUACAUAUGUAACAAACCUGCACGUUGUGCACAUGGUACCCUAAAACUUAAAGUAUAAUUAAAAAAAAAAAUUAGAGGUUUUUCUUCGGGUGCAUUUAUGAGAGUUCACCAGAUUUUGGAAAUAUUUUCUAUUCUGUAACCUACCUUUUCAUUUACAUAACAGUGAUAAAAGCUUUAAGUUUGAUCACAUCCAAUUAAUCACAUUUUUUAAUAGUUAUGCUUUUAUUUGUUUUUCAGACAGGGUCUUACUCUGUCACCCAGGCUGGAGUGCAGUGGCACAAUCAUGGCUCACUGCAGUCUCUGCCUCCCAGGCUCAAGUGAUCCUCCCACCUCAGCCUCUCAAGUAGCUGGGACUACAGGCAUGUGCCACCACACCUAAUUUCUAUAUUUUUUGUAGAGACUAGGUUUCACCAUGUUGUCCAGGCUUGUCUUGACCUCCUGAGCUCAAGCAGUCCAUCUGCCUCAGCCUCCCAAAGUGCUGGGACUACAGACAUGAGCCAUUGUGCCUGACCUAGUUCUGCUUUUUAUGUUCUAAGAAGUAUUAUUUAUUCUAUGCUGAGCUUACAUAGAAUUUCUUCCAUGUUUUCUAUAGCUAUAGUGUAUUUUUACCUUUUACUGUUAGAUCUAUUUCAUGUUUUUAUUAUGGAUAAUGGAGGAGGUAAAGGUUGAAUUAUAUUUUCCCCCAUAUUAUUGACCCAUAGUGACACCAGUUUUGGGAGAUGUCUUUCAUUUUCGCCCUUACGUUGUUAUUGGCACCUUUUGCAAAAAUCAAUUAUUUAUCAUGAGUAUACUUCUGAAAUGAUCUGUUUCAUCAAUCUAUUUGUCUUCUCAGUAGUUCCACAUUGUCUUAAUUAUAGCUUUAGAGGAAGUCUUGAAAUUUGGUAGUAAGUCUUCCAGUUUUGUUAUUUUAACAAAUUUCUCUAGGCUGGGCAUGGUGGCUCAUGCCUAUAAUCCCAGCACUUUAGGAGCCCCAGACAGGAGGAUCACUUAAGCGCAGAAGAUCAAGACCAGCCUGGGAAAUAUAGCAAGACCUUAUCUCUACAAAAAAAUUUAGAAAUUAGCUGGGCAUGGUGGCACCCAUCUGUAGUCCUAACUGCUCAGGAGGCUGAGGUGGGAGGAUUGCUUGAGUCCAGGAGUUCAAGGCUGCAGUGAGUUGUGAUCACACCAUUGCAGUCCAGCCAGGUUGACAGAAUGAGACCCUGUCUCUUAAAAAAAAAAAAAAAAAUCCUGGUGAUGCUUUUCUGGAUUAAAAAA